This 3126-nucleotide long non-coding RNA is filed under the name Mus musculus (house mouse). RNAcentral describes it as "long non-coding RNA chr7:18958931-18962057". Lineage: Eukaryota; Metazoa; Chordata; Mammalia; Rodentia; Muridae. The record is from RNAcentral.
UUUAAUAGAAAACAAAGCGUUAUUUUCUCUUUCUUUCCCUCCUUUUUUUUCUUUUUAACUUUUUCUCCUUCUUCUUCUUCUUUUUUUUUUUUUUGAUAAGGACCCCCCCUCCUUUAUAAGAUUUUUGUUGUUGUUGUUAACAUAUGGGAGGAGGGGAGGGAGCCUUCAGGUCACCUGGAAUGAGGUGCCUCUCCCAAACACAACAUCCUGCCUCUCUGAUUGCAGUUCCAGAACCUGGGGAAGAGACCCAAGUAGGAGUAGAGGUAGCCACCCAGGAGUCAGAGCUGAAGUGAGGGGUUUCAAACAUAGACACUCACCCCGGUCCGAGCCCCCAGGAUCCCCACAUUUCCUCAGCUCCUCUCUCCCCCUGCAGUAUUCCCUGGAAUGGAAGUGUAACUUUCUCCGUUGAGCAGAGCUAUUCCUGCUGGGAAUGACUCCAGCUCUGGGAUGCUGCAGGUCCUGUGAGCCACACUAUUGUGCGAGGCCCAGGAGCAGCUGGCUGUAACAUCUUAGGGCUCUUCCUAGAGGAACGAGGGUCCGUGUUGUGAUGUCACUGAAUCAAGUAUUUACCGGGUGCUUCCAGUAACUCCCUAUGAUGUCAUAGGAAGGAUUUCCUCAGAGGCUACUUCCGGUACUGGUUAGAGAAAAUCAUUUCCUGUGAGGUCCCAACAAAAGGCCUCAAAGGUCGCUUCUGUAGAUGGCAGAGGCAUGUACUUCCUGUGGAAUCUCGAGGUCACUUCCUGUGGCAUCAUAGGGAUGAAGCAUGCGCUUCCGGUGUUGGACAGUGGCCAGUCCCUAAGAUUCCCCCUCCUCCCUCUACACUCCUCUUUGGUGGGUGUUGGCCCUGGGUGAGGGGGAAUCCUUAGGAAGAAUGGGACUUGGGUUUAACAUGGAAGAUUGUAAGGGGGAAAAAAAAUCCUGUCAGGGUUAUCUCUGUCCAGACACGCUAUCUGUGAACUUGCCUUGACAGGCACGAAUGGGAGACGAAGCUAGUGAAAAUGAAUGAUUGCUAAAGAUCCCCCCUUCCCCACCCCUGCCUUUUGUGUGCAUGCCUGUGUCUACGUGGUUUCAUUUCAUUGAUGGAUGAGCCAAAUGUAUGGUGGCUCUGUCAGGCCAGUGUGAUCUGGUGUAGAGUUCAGUGAGCCUUGCAAAGUUUAGGGUAUCUCGGGCUGAAAUGCCUUGCGCAGUCUGCCGAAUUUGAAGCUUGGCGGCUUCCAGGGAGCUGGUGUAUGUUGACGAUCUUGAUUGGUCAGAAAUGUUCCAGUGUGCUCAGCCUUAUUAGACUCAGAGGAGCUAGGAGAUUCUCUGGAAGUACGACAAACCAGGCUACCCUGGGAGUUGUCUUGGGAGUGGCUCACUUGGCAUGGUGGCUCUGGUCAGCUCUGAAGAGUCAGGGCCUGAAAAACCUAUAGACUAGGAUUGCUGAGACAUCCCCCUGUCCCCUAACAUCGCCCCCUCUCUGUUGGAGAGCACCUUCAAUUUCCUCCAACCCCAAGCAGGGUCCUCAGAGCCCUGUCUCCAUCAUCAGCAUCUCUGGGGGAGGGACACCCCAUGCCCACUCCCUCCUCCAUCCAUUCCUAGGUCUUCCAGACCCUGCUCUUCUCCAUGGCUUUGGGGAUAUCUGGCCUCCUUGUUUCUAUCCCUACAAAGGAGCUGGGAGGAGAGAGACCACCCAGAUGAUGCCUACUACAGCCUUCAAGCCUGGGAGGCCCCCCCUACCCCGUGCUAGAGAGCCACCCCAAAAUCAAAAUGUGAAAAUCCCUAGAAAGCAAUAGCCUUCGAGGUACCUCGCACUGACUCCCCCUCCCCCAGCCCUUCCACAGGAAUGGGAGGCUAUGGCUUGAGCACUGGGGUGACUUUUUUCCAUGUCCUCAUCUCCCCAGUGAGGGGCAGGCCCCAUUUCCUUGACACACCCCCAUCUCCCACCUCCUAUCGCUGCUGCCCCUUUAUCCCUAAUCUCCACCCUGAGCCCAGAUGGAGAUUUUAGUGCCAAAACAAUUCUUGAUACCACUUUGUACAUAUCUUCUACAGUUGGGGCUGCUGAGAUUGGAGGUGGGGGCCGGCCCACAGGGCCAUUGCUCCCCUCCACCUCUUAAAUGACCUUACAGUAUUUCAUGUAGCUCCACCUGCAUGUGGGUAGUAAAGUAUCUAGCUGGAAUCCCCCCCCCCCCGCGCGCGCGCGCCCGUAAAACCCUCAGGCUCCAUGAGGAGGGGAAGGAAUAGGGGUGAAGCAAUGUCCAGGAUGGGUAGGUGGGAUAAAGACACUCUAUUUGUAAAUCAUCUGUGCCCUCUCUUGGACAGCCUGCUUUCCAUAAGCCCAUUGGCUGGAGUCUGGGUCCAUUCCCUGUGUGACAUGCCCGUGUUCUCAGGGAUCCAUUCCCCCACCAGCCAGGGCUAUCUGAAAAGUAGUUUGCUAGCUUAGUAAGCUGGUCCACUCACCAUGUUGGUGAGUGAGGAGUGGCACACCUCCCCACCCGCAUUGUACCCUGGGAAAUUCCAUCAUCUUCCCUAUCCCUUGAAAAUCCCUUCUGAAAUCCAACCUCAGUCUUUCUGUACUGUAGUUGGUCCAGAAGGGAUACAUAAUGCAGGUCAGGGAUGAGAAUUACUUUUAAAAUAAUAGUAAUAACAAAGCUCAUUCCCCGCCCCUUCUGCCUGUUAGCCAAUCAGAUCGCAAAGGAUCUGACCGGCCUCCUUGCAUCCCACUCUUCAGCACCAGUAGGUGCUUAGUAAGAUAGUUAAGUGUUGCCUGCAUUGAACUGUCUCAUCUGCCCUCCUGCUUCCGAUACCCCUGCCCCCAGCAUUCUCCUCUGCCUCCCUAAGGCCCACUGGGUUUUCCUCUUGUGGUUGCCCCUCCCCCACGGUUCUCUGUCCUGUCUCUACCUUUGUCUGUAUUCUUCUCCUCCUGAAUUCUCGACUCUCAUUUCCCCUUUAAAAGCAAAAAGUGCCAAACUUCCUCGGAACUGAGCCGAUCUGGGGUGGGGGGAUGAGGAUCUUAGAUGGAGGGAGGAAACCACCUCUCUUAGAGGGGGGGGGGCCUUAAGAGGCAAAGAAAACACUUUAGGAUGCUGAGCUAAAUUGGAUCCCCUUCCUCGUUCCUCUCACCCUGAGUUUUUUCUUAGAAUCUUU